GAGUUUGAUCGUGGCUCAGGAUGAACGCUGGCGGCGUGCCUAAUACAUGCAAGUCGAGCGAACGGACGAGAAGCUUGCUUCUCUGAUGUUAGCGGCGGACGGGUGAGUAACACGUGGGUAACCUACCUAUAAGACUGGGAUAACUCCGGGAAACCGGGGCUAAUACCGGAUAACACAUGAAACCGCAUGGUUUCAUGAUGAAAGACGGUCUUGCUGUCACUUAUAGAUGGAUCCGCGCUGCAUUAGCUAGUUGGUAAGGUAACGGCUUACCAAGGCAACGAUGCAUAGCCGACCUGAGAGGGUGAUCGGCCACACUGGAACUGAGACACGGUCCAGACUCCUACGGGAGGCAGCAGUAGGGAAUCUUCCGCAAUGGGCGAAAGCCUGACGGAGCAACGCCGCGUGAGUGAUGAAGGUCUUCGGAUCGUAAAACUCUGUUAUUAGGGAAGAACAUAUGUGUAAGUAACUGUGCACAUCUUGACGGUACCUAAUCAGAAAGCCACGGCUAACU
RNAcentral lists this ribosomal RNA (511 nucleotides) under uncultured microorganism. Its description in RNAcentral is "bacterial SSU rRNA". It matches the Rfam family "Bacterial small subunit ribosomal RNA", at positions 9 to 502 of the family's 1533-position model. The record is from RNAcentral.